RNAcentral lists this ribosomal RNA (450 nucleotides) under uncultured bacterium. Its description in RNAcentral is "partial 16S ribosomal RNA". It matches the Rfam family "Bacterial small subunit ribosomal RNA", at positions 354 to 796 of the family's 1533-position model. The record is from RNAcentral.
GUGGGGAAUUUUGGACAAUGGGCGCAAGCCUGAUCCAGCAAUGCCGCGUGUGUGAAGAAGGCCUUCGGGUUGUAAAGCACUUUUGGCAGGAAAGAAAUAGUGCGUGCUAAUACCAUGCGCGAAUGACGGUACCUGCAGAAUAAGCACCGGCUAACUACGUGCCAGCAGCCGCGGUAAGACGUAGGGUGCAAGCGUUAAUCGGAAUUACUGGGCGUAAAGCGUGAGCAGGCGGUUUUGUAAGACUGGUGUGAAAUCCCCGGGCUCAACCUGGGAACUGCACGAGUGACUGCAAGGCUAGAGUGUGGCAGAGGGAGGUGGAAUUCCGCGUGUAGCAGUGAAAUGCGUAGAGAUGCGGAGGAACACCGAUGGCGAAGGCAGCCUCCUGAGAUAACACUGACGCUCAGGCACGAAGGCGUGGGGAGCAAACAGGAUUAGAAACCCCUGUAGUCC